Pezoporus occidentalis (night parrot) is the source of this 331-nucleotide long non-coding RNA. RefSeq lists it as uncharacterized. The record is from RefSeq and is a predicted model, not a curated record. The transcript is spliced from 3 exons. Lineage: Eukaryota; Metazoa; Chordata; Aves; Psittaciformes; Psittacidae.
AAAUUUUAAAUCACUUUCUAUCAUUUGUUCUAACUGCAAUCAGAACACUGAACUGGCAGAAGUUCUGAACAUCUGGAACUGAAGUUCAGUGAAGUCCUUAAAAUACUUUAGUUCCACUGCACUGAAGUUGCUUGUGUCCCUGAUAAUCCCACUGAGCUGAUCUGCACCCAAAAUUUGAUAUCCAAGACCCAUCUAUCACCAGUUUCACAUAUUGAUGCACAAGCUCUGCCGGAUAAACCCCGAAACACAGCGGAGACCGAGGGAAAGGCCAGCUCGCCCUCCUGAAGCAGAGGCUGGUUCACGCCUGUCGGCACCAGGGCGGCCGCGGCUG